RNAcentral lists this ribosomal RNA (497 nucleotides) under uncultured bacterium. RNAcentral's name for it is "partial 16S ribosomal RNA". It matches the Rfam family "Bacterial small subunit ribosomal RNA", at positions 28 to 507 of the family's 1533-position model. The record is from RNAcentral.
GAUGAACGCUGGCGGCGUGCCUAAUACAUGCAAGUCGAGCGAACGGACGAGAAGCUUGCUUCUCUGAUGUUAGCGGCGGACGGGUGAGUAACACGUGGAUAACCUACCUAUAAGACUGGGAUAACUUCGGGAAACCGGAGCUAAUACCGGAUGAUAUUUUGAACCGCAUGGUUCAAAAGUGAAAGACGGUCUUGCUGUCACUUAUAGAUGGAUCCGCGCUGCAUUAGCUAGUUGGUAAGGUAACGGCUUACCAAGGCAACGAUGCAUAGCCGACCUGAGAGGGUGAUCGGCCACUCUGGAACUGAGACACGGUCCAGACUCCUACGGGAGGCAGCAGUAGGGAAUCUUCCGCAAUGGGCGAAAGCCUGACGGAGCAACGCCGCGUGAGUGAUGAAGGUCUUCGGAUCGUAAAACUCUGUUAUUAGGGAAGAACAUAUGUGUAAGUAACUGUGCACAUCUUGACGGUACCUAAUCAGAAAGCCACGGCUAACUACGUG